Molecule: ribosomal RNA, 253 nt
Filed under: uncultured bacterium
Lineage: Bacteria
Description: partial 16S ribosomal RNA
Rfam family: Bacterial small subunit ribosomal RNA
Source: RNAcentral
UACGUAGGGUGCAAGCGUUGUCCGGAAUUAUUGGGCGUAAAGAGCUCGUAGGCGGUCAGUCGCGUCUGCUGUGAAAACUCGGGGCUUAACUCCGGGCCUGCAGUGGGUACGGGCUGACUAGAGUGCGGUAGGGGAGAUCGGAAUUCCUGGUGUAGCGGUGAAAUGCGCAGAUAUCAGGAGGAACACCGGUGGCGAAGGCGGAUCUCUGGGCCGUAACUGACGCUGAGACGCGAAAGCGUGGGGAGCAAACAGG